UGGUGCAUGGGCCGUUCUUAGUUYGUGGAGUGAUCUGUCUGCUUAAUUGCGUUUCAAAACAACUGAUACACAGAGUCUUGGCACAGUUCAGUUUAAUGGCGUCGAGUAUCUUUGAUUUCGACAGUAGUCCAACUCGGUUCGCCAGGGUCUCUUUUGAACGCAACGGACGUGAUCGCAACCCUUUGUUGAGUGAUGUCAGCACUCUACGUCUAUCCUAGCUCGUUGAUCGCAAGUGAGAGUUGGGUGGGCAAACUCAGGGGACAGCUUCAACUAUUCUUCUUCAAACUAGAGGAAGGUUGCGGCAAUAACAGGUCUGUGAUGCCCUCAGAUGUUCUAGGCUGCACACGUGCUACAUUGAUCAGCACAAUGCGAUACAUUUCGAAAGGAAACAUCGGUUUUAAGGUAACGUCGAUUGCCUACCGAUAGCACCUGGUCCCCAGUGGACUGGGCAAUCUCUUCUAAAUGCUGGUAAGGUACCCACACUCGAGCUAUUUAAUCACACGCGGGAGGCACACACGGUUCAAAUCUCAUUUGCGACUGUUGCCGCCAUGACGUAUGCAACUUGUCAAUUCUUCGUGGGGAUCGUCGAUUGCAACUAUUCGACUCGCCACAACUAGGAAUGCCU
This 625-nucleotide ribosomal RNA is filed under the name Orbulina universa. RNAcentral's name for it is "bacterial SSU rRNA". It matches the Rfam family "Eukaryotic small subunit ribosomal RNA", at positions 1289 to 1635 of the family's 1831-position model. The record is from RNAcentral. Lineage: Eukaryota; Foraminifera; Rotaliida; Globigerinidae.